CCUACGGGAGGCAGCAGUGAGGAAUAUUGGUCAAUGGACGAAAGUCUGAACCAGCCAUGCCGCGUGCAGGAAGACGGCUCUAUGAGUUGUAAACUGCUUUUGUACGGGGGUAAACGCAGAUACGCGUAUCUGUCUGAAAGUAUCUUACGAAUAAGGAUCGGCUAACUCCGUGCCAGCAGCCGCGGUAAUACGGAGGAUUCAAGCGUUAUCCGGAUUUAUUGGGUUUAAAGGGUGCGUAGGUGGGUGGUUAAGUUAGAGGUGAAAGCCCGAGGCUCAACUUCGGAAUUGCCAUUGAUACUGUUCGGCUAGAGAGUAGUUGAGGUAGGCGGAAUGUAUGGUGUAGCGGUGAAAUGCUUAGAGAUCAUACAGAACACCGAUUGCGAAGGCAGCUUACCAAGCUACUUCUGACGUUGAGGCACGAAAGUGUGGGGAGCAAACAGGAUUAGAUACCCGUGUAGUC
This 460-nucleotide ribosomal RNA is filed under the name uncultured bacterium. RNAcentral describes it as "partial 16S ribosomal RNA". It matches the Rfam family "Bacterial small subunit ribosomal RNA", at positions 338 to 795 of the family's 1533-position model. The record is from RNAcentral.